GGCCUCAUCGAUACCGCAUAUUCCUCCCCUCCCGCACGUUGUUUCGGUGCCUAUGCUGCUCAUUUGUGGAGGCUUCACGACAGUGUCUCCCUCCAUUCUCUCUCAGUUAAUUUUGUCUUAUUCUCGGACAUUGUGAAGUUUGAAGCCUGUCAAGAUGGUGAAGUUUACAGCUGAAGAGCUUCGUCGGAUUAUGGACUAUAAGCACAACAUUCGUAAUAUGUCUGUUAUUGCUCAUGUCGAUCAUGGGAAGUCAACACUUACAGAUUCUCUUGUGGCUGCUGCGGGUAUCAUUGCACAAGAAGUUGCUGGUGAUGUGCGGAUGACAGACACUCGCCAAGAUGA
Molecule: non-coding RNA, 342 nt
Organism: Momordica charantia (bitter melon)
Lineage: Eukaryota; Viridiplantae; Streptophyta; Magnoliopsida; Cucurbitales; Cucurbitaceae
Source: RefSeq, a predicted model, not a curated record